GCAGGGGUUGCAGAGCUUGGCCAAAUGCGACAGGUUUAGGGCCUGUUCUCUUAGGAGUUCGCCGGUUCAAAUCCGGCCCCCUGCA
This 85-nucleotide transfer RNA is filed under the name Microcaldota archaeon. Its description in RNAcentral is "tRNA-Leu". It matches the Rfam family "tRNA". From Rfam's summary of the family: Transfer RNA (tRNA) molecules are approximately 80 nucleotides in length. Their secondary structure includes four short double-helical elements and three loops (D, anti-codon, and T loops). The record is from RNAcentral. Lineage: Archaea; Nanobdellati; Microcaldota.